AGUGAACGCUGGCGGUAGGCCUAACACAUGCAAGUCGAACGGCAGCACAGUAAGAGCUUGCUCUUACGGGUGGCGAGUGGCGGACGGGUGAGGAAUACAUCGGAAUCUACUUUUUCGUGGGGGAUAACGUAGGGAAACUUACGCUAAUACCGCAUACGACCUACGGGUGAAAGCAGGGGAUCUUCGGACCUUGCGCGAUUGAAUGAGCCGAUGUCGGAUUAGCUAGUUGGCGGGGUAAAGGCCCACCAAGGCGACGAUCCGUAGCUGGUCUGAGAGGAUGAUCAGCCAAACUGGAACUGAGAACCGGUCCAGACCCCAAGGGGAGGCAGCAGGGGGGAAUUUUGGAAAAGGGGCGAAAGCCUGAUCCAGCCAUACCGGGGGGGUGAAGAAGGCCUUCGGGUUGUAAAGCCCUUUUGUUGGGAAAAAAAAGCAGCAGGUUAAUACCCCGCUGUUCUGACGGUACCCAAAGAAUAAGCACCGGCUAACUUCGU
RNAcentral lists this ribosomal RNA (491 nucleotides) under uncultured bacterium. RNAcentral's name for it is "partial 16S ribosomal RNA". It matches the Rfam family "Bacterial small subunit ribosomal RNA", at positions 29 to 506 of the family's 1533-position model. The record is from RNAcentral.